UGAGCCAACCAGGCAAUCGCUAUUGAUAUUUCAGUAGAGGAAAGUCCGGGCUCCACAGGGUAAGGUGCCAGGUAACACCUGGGGGACGUGAGUCCACGGAAAGUGCAGCAGAAAAUAUACCGCCCGGUUUGACCGGGUAAGGGUGAAAUGGUGCGGUAAGAGCGCACCGCAGAUGCGGUAACGUGUCUGGCAGUGUAAACCCCACCUGGAGCAAGACCAAAUAGGAAUCCAAUGGCGUGUCCCGCGCCGGAUUCGGGUAGGUCGCUUGAGGUCCAUGGUGACGUGGAUCCUAGAUGAAUGAUUGUCCGCGACAGAACCCGGCUUAUCGGUUGGCUCUUUUA
This 341-nucleotide RNase P RNA is filed under the name Pseudomonadales bacterium. RNAcentral's name for it is "RNase P RNA component class A". It matches the Rfam family "Bacterial RNase P class A". Rfam says of the family: Ribonuclease P (RNase P) is a ubiquitous endoribonuclease, found in archaea, bacteria and eukarya as well as chloroplasts and mitochondria. Its best characterised activity is the generation of mature 5'-ends of tRNAs by cleaving the 5'-leader elements of precursor-tRNAs. Cellular RNase Ps are ribonucleoproteins. Lineage: Bacteria; Pseudomonadati; Pseudomonadota; Gammaproteobacteria; Pseudomonadales. The record is from RNAcentral.